GAUGAACGCUGACAGAAUGCUUAACACAUGCAAGUCAACUUGAACUUCGGUUUGGGUGGCGGACGGGUGAGUAACGCGUAAAGAACUUGCCUCACAGAUAGGGACAACAUUUGGAAACGAAUGCUAAUACCUGAUAUUAUGAUUUUAGGGCAUCCUAGGAUUAUGAAAGCUAUAUGCGCUGUGGGAGAGCUUUGCGUCCCAUUAGCUAGUUGGAGAGGUAACGGCUCACCAAGGCGAUGAUGGGUAGCCGGCCUGAGAGGGUGAUCGGCCACAAGGGGACUGGGACACGGCCCUUACUCCUACGGGAGGCAGCAGUGGGGAAUAUUGGACAAUGGACCAAGAGUCUGAUCCAGCAAUUCUGUGUGCACGAUGAAGUUUUUCGGAAUGUAAAGUGCUUUCAGUUGGGAAGAAAAAAAUGACGGUACCAACAGAAGAAGUGACGGCUAAAUACGUG
RNAcentral lists this ribosomal RNA (454 nucleotides) under uncultured bacterium. Its description in RNAcentral is "partial 16S ribosomal RNA". It matches the Rfam family "Bacterial small subunit ribosomal RNA", at positions 28 to 507 of the family's 1533-position model. The record is from RNAcentral.